UACGUAGGGCGCAAGCGUUAUCCGGAAUUAUUGGGCGUAAAGAGCUCGUAGGCGGUUUGUCGCGUCUGCUGUGAAAGACCGGGGCUCAACUCCGGUUCUGCAGUGGGUACGGGCAGACUAGAGUGCAGUAGGGGAGACUGGAAUUCCUGGUGUAGCGGUGAAAUGCGCAGAUAUCAGGAGGAACACCGGUGGCGAAGGCGGAUCUCUGGGCCGAUACUGACGCUGAGGAGCGAAAGCGUGGGGAGCGAACAGG
This 253-nucleotide ribosomal RNA is filed under the name uncultured bacterium. RNAcentral describes it as "partial 16S ribosomal RNA". It matches the Rfam family "Bacterial small subunit ribosomal RNA", at positions 524 to 776 of the family's 1533-position model. The record is from RNAcentral.